CUCUUAGAUGUUCUGGGCCGCACGCGCGCUACACUGAUGCAUUCAACGAGUCUAAAACCUGCUCUGAUAGGGGUGGGUAAUCUUUUGAAUGUGCAUCGUGAUUGGGAUAGAUGAUUGCAAUUUUUCAUCUUCAACGAGGAAUGCCUAGUAAACGCAAGUCAUCAACUUGCAUUGAUUACGUUCCUGCCCUUUGUACACACCGCCCGUCGCUCCUACCGAUUGAAUGAUCCGAUGAAUAUCAUGGAUUGAGGAUGCAAGUAGGUUAGCCUAUCUUCAUCUUCGAGAAGUGAAGUAAAUCUUAUCAUUUAGAGGAAGGAGAAGUCGUAACA
RNAcentral lists this ribosomal RNA (329 nucleotides) under uncultured eukaryote. RNAcentral describes it as "partial 18S ribosomal RNA". It matches the Rfam family "Eukaryotic small subunit ribosomal RNA", at positions 1470 to 1796 of the family's 1831-position model. The record is from RNAcentral.